GAGAGGCCUUUAUUUUGCUAAGUUGGGAAGCUUGGUGCACACGGAAAAUAUGACGUGGACAAAGGAAUGGGUAGCUUCAUGCACAUGUGGGAGAAAGUAGUCCACACAUGAAACAGAUUGGGACUAGUUCGUGAAUGGGAUGACUCGACCUGCACACACAUUAGACUAAAUUAAUAUAGAAAAUUAAAUCAAACUUGAAUUACCUCUAAUAAUUUA
RNAcentral lists this long non-coding RNA (216 nucleotides) under Phoenix dactylifera (date palm). RNAcentral describes it as "long non-coding RNA (PDAC_LNC021427)". Lineage: Eukaryota; Viridiplantae; Streptophyta; Magnoliopsida; Arecales; Arecaceae. The record is from RNAcentral.